RNAcentral lists this ribosomal RNA (253 nucleotides) under uncultured bacterium. Its description in RNAcentral is "partial 16S ribosomal RNA". It matches the Rfam family "Bacterial small subunit ribosomal RNA", at positions 524 to 776 of the family's 1533-position model. The record is from RNAcentral.
UACGUAGGGUGCAAGCGUUGUCCGGAUUUACUGGGCGUAAAGAGCGUGUAGGCGGCCAAGCAGGUCCGUUGUGAAAACUGGAGGCUUAACCUCCAGACGUCGACGGAAACCGCGUGGCUAGAGUCCGGAAGAGGAGAGUGGAAUUCCUGGUGUAGCGGUGAAAUGCGCAGAUAUCAGGAAGAACACCAAUGGCGAAGGCAGCUCUCUGGGACGGUACUGACGCUGAGACGCGAAAGCGUGGGGAGCGAACAGG